This 23-nucleotide non-coding RNA is filed under the name Lepisosteus oculatus (spotted gar). Lineage: Eukaryota; Metazoa; Chordata; Actinopteri; Semionotiformes; Lepisosteidae. RNAcentral also lists the same sequence under 14 other names. The record is from RNAcentral.
UCCCUGAGACCCUUAACCUGUGA